UAGGGAAUCUUCCACAAUGGACGCAAGUCUGAUGGAGCAACGCCGCGUGAGUGAAGAAGGCUUUCGGGUCGUAAAACUCUGUUAUUGAAGAAGAACGUGUGUGACAGUAACUGGUCAUGCAGUGACGGUAUUCAAUCAGAAAGUCACGGCUAACUACGUGCCAGCAGCCGCGGUAAUACGUAGGUGGCAAGCGUUGUCCGGAUUUAUUGGGCGUAAAGCGAGUGCAGGCGGUCUUUUAAGUCUGAUGUGAAAGCCUUCGGCUUAACCGAAGAAGGGCAUCGGAAACUGGGAGACUUGAGUGCAGAAGAGGAGAGUGGAACUCCAUGUGUAGCGGUGAAAUGCGUAGAUAUAUGGAAGAACACCAGUGGCGAAGGCGGCUCUCUGGUCUGUAACUGACGCUGAGGCUCGAAAGCGUGGGUAGCAAACAGGAUUAGAUACCCUGGUAGUCCACGCC
Molecule: ribosomal RNA, 454 nt
Filed under: uncultured bacterium
Lineage: Bacteria
Description: partial 16S ribosomal RNA
Rfam family: Bacterial small subunit ribosomal RNA
Source: RNAcentral